ACCGGCGGCUCGAGUGGUGGCCACUAUUACUGGGCUUAAAGCGUUCGUAGCUGGCUUGUUAAGUCUCUGGGGAAAUCUUCCGGCUCAACCGGAAGGCGUCUCAGGGAUACUGGCAGGCUAGGGACCGGAAGAGGUGGGAGGUACUCCAGGGGUAGCAGUGCAAUACUGUGAUCCUUGGGGGACGAACUGUGGCGAAGGCGUCUCACCAGGACGAGUCGCCCAGUGAGGACCGAAAGCUAGUGGAGCAAACCG
Molecule: ribosomal RNA, 252 nt
Filed under: uncultured prokaryote
Description: partial 16S rRNA
Rfam family: Archaeal small subunit ribosomal RNA
Source: RNAcentral